Small nuclear RNA from Heterocephalus glaber (naked mole-rat), 104 nucleotides. Lineage: Eukaryota; Metazoa; Chordata; Mammalia; Rodentia; Bathyergidae. The record is from Ensembl.
GUGCUUCUUUUGGCAGCACUUAUACUAAAAUUGAAAAGAUACAGAGAUUAGCAUGGCCCCUGCGCAAGGAUGACACUCAAAUUCCUGAAGUAUUCCAUUAAAAA